Molecule: ribosomal RNA, 2900 nt
Filed under: Escherichia coli
Lineage: Bacteria; Pseudomonadati; Pseudomonadota; Gammaproteobacteria; Enterobacterales; Enterobacteriaceae
Description: 23S ribosomal RNA
Rfam family: Bacterial large subunit ribosomal RNA
Source: RNAcentral
UUAAGCGACUAAGCGUACACGGUGGAUGCCCUGGCAGUCAGAGGCGAUGAAGGACGUGCUAAUCUGCGAUAAGCGUCGGUAAGGUGAUAUGAACCGUUAUAACCGGCGAUUUCCGAAUGGGGAAACCCAGUGUGAUUCGUCACACUAUCAUUAACUGAAUCCAUAGGUUAAUGAGGCGAACCGGGGGAACUGAAACAUCUAAGUACCCCGAGGAAAAGAAAUCAACCGAGAUUCCCCCAGUAGCGGCGAGCGAACGGGGAGGAGCCCAGAGCCUGAAUCAGUGUGUGUGUUAGUGGAAGCGUCUGGAAAGGCGCGCGAUACAGGGUGACAGCCCCGUACACAAAAAUGCACAUGCUGUGAGCUCGAUGAGUAGGGCGGGACACGUGGUAUCCUGUCUGAAUAUGGGGGGACCAUCCUCCAAGGCUAAAUACUCCUGACUGACCGAUAGUGAACCAGUACCGUGAGGGAAAGGCGAAAAGAACCCCGGCGAGGGGAGUGAAAAAGAACCUGAAACCGUGUACGUACAAGCAGUGGGAGCCUCUUUUAUGGGGUGACUGCGUACCUUUUGUAUAAUGGGUCAGCGACUUAUAUUCUGUAGCAAGGUUAACCGAAUAGGGGAGCCGAAGGGAAACCGAGUCUUAACUGGGCGUUAAGUUGCAGGGUAUAGACCCGAAACCCGGUGAUCUAGCCAUGGGCAGGUUGAAGGUUGGGUAACACUAACUGGAGGACCGAACCGACUAAUGUUGAAAAAUUAGCGGAUGACUUGUGGCUGGGGGUGAAAGGCCAAUCAAACCGGGAGAUAGCUGGUUCUCCCCGAAAGCUAUUUAGGUAGCGCCUCGUGAAUUCAUCUCCGGGGGUAGAGCACUGUUUCGGCAAGGGGGUCAUCCCGACUUACCAACCCGAUGCAAACUGCGAAUACCGGAGAAUGUUAUCACGGGAGACACACGGCGGGUGCUAACGUCCGUCGUGAAGAGGGAAACAACCCAGACCGCCAGCUAAGGUCCCAAAGUCAUGGUUAAGUGGGAAACGAUGUGGGAAGGCCCAGACAGCCAGGAUGUUGGCUUAGAAGCAGCCAUCAUUUAAAGAAAGCGUAAUAGCUCACUGGUCGAGUCGGCCUGCGCGGAAGAUGUAACGGGGCUAAACCAUGCACCGAAGCUGCGGCAGCGACACUAUGUGUUGUUGGGUAGGGGAGCGUUCUGUAAGCCUGUGAAGGUGUACUGUGAGGUAUGCUGGAGGUAUCAGAAGUGCGAAUGCUGACAUAAGUAACGAUAAAGCGGGUGAAAAGCCCGCUCGCCGGAAGACCAAGGGUUCCUGUCCAACGUUAAUCGGGGCAGGGUGAGUCGACCCCUAAGGCGAGGCCGAAAGGCGUAGUCGAUGGGAAACAGGUUAAUAUUCCUGUACUUGGUGUUACUGCGAAGGGGGGACGGAGAAGGCUAUGUUGGCCGGGCGACGGUUGUCCCGGUUUAAGCGUGUAGGCUGGUUUUCCAGGCAAAUCCGGAAAAUCAAGGCUGAGGCGUGAUGACGAGGCACUACGGUGCUGAAGCAACAAAUGCCCUGCUUCCAGGAAAAGCCUCUAAGCAUCAGGUAACAUCAAAUCGUACCCCAAACCGACACAGGUGGUCAGGUAGAGAAUACCAAGGCGCUUGAGAGAACUCGGGUGAAGGAACUAGGCAAAAUGGUGCCGUAACUUCGGGAGAAGGCACGCUGAUAUGUAGGUGAAGUCCCUCGCGGAUGGAGCUGAAAUCAGUCGAAGAUACCAGCUGGCUGCAACUGUUUAUUAAAAACACAGCACUGUGCAAACACGAAAGUGGACGUAUACGGUGUGACGCCUGCCCGGUGCCGGAAGGUUAAUUGAUGGGGUCAGCGCAAGCGAAGCUCUUGAUCGAAGCCCCGGUAAACGGCGGCCGUAACUAUAACGGUCCUAAGGUAGCGAAAUUCCUUGUCGGGUAAGUUCCGACCUGCACGAAUGGCGUAAUGAUGGCCAGGCUGUCUCCACCCGAGACUCAGUGAAAUUGAACUCGCUGUGAAGAUGCAGUGUACCCGCGGCAAGACGGAAAGACCCCGUGAACCUUUACUAUAGCUUGACACUGAACAUUGAGCCUUGAUGUGUAGGAUAGGUGGGAGGCUUUGAAGUGUGGACGCCAGUCUGCAUGGAGCCGACCUUGAAAUACCACCCUUUAAUGUUUGAUGUUCUAACGUUGACCCGUAAUCCGGGUUGCGGACAGUGUCUGGUGGGUAGUUUGACUGGGGCGGUCUCCUCCUAAAGAGUAACGGAGGAGCACGAAGGUUGGCUAAUCCUGGUCGGACAUCAGGAGGUUAGUGCAAUGGCAUAAGCCAGCUUGACUGCGAGCGUGACGGCGCGAGCAGGUGCGAAAGCAGGUCAUAGUGAUCCGGUGGUUCUGAAUGGAAGGGCCAUCGCUCAACGGAUAAAAGGUACUCCGGGGAUAACAGGCUGAUACCGCCCAAGAGUUCAUAUCGACGGCGGUGUUUGGCACCUCGAUGUCGGCUCAUCACAUCCUGGGGCUGAAGUAGGUCCCAAGGGUAUGGCUGUUCGCCAUUUAAAGUGGUACGCGAGCUGGGUUUAGAACGUCGUGAGACAGUUCGGUCCCUAUCUGCCGUGGGCGCUGGAGAAUUGAGGGGGGCUGCUCCUAGUACGAGAGGACCGGAGUGGACGCAUCACUGGUGUUCGGGUUGUCAUGCCAAUGGCACUGCCCGGUAGCUAAAUGCGGAAGAGAUAAGUGCUGAAAGCAUCUAAGCACGAAACUUGCCCCGAGAUGAGUUCUCCCUGACUCCUUGAGAGUCCUGAAGGAACGUUGAAGACGACGACGUUGAUAGGCCGGGUGUGUAAGCGCAGCGAUGCGUUGAGCUAACCGGUACUAAUGAACCGUGAGGCUUAACCU